AUUGAACGCUGGCGGCAGGCUUAACACAUGCAAGUCGAACGAGUGGCGGACGGGUGAGUAAUGCUUGGGAACCUAGCCUAUGGAGGGGGAUAACUACGGGAAACUGUAGCUAAUACCGCGUACCAUAGGAUGAGCCCAAGUGGGAUUAGGUAGUUGGUGGGGUAAAGGCUCACCAAGCCGACGAUCCCUAGCUGGUCUGAGAGGAUGACCAGCCACACUGGGACUGAGACACGGCCCAGACUCCUACGGGAGGCAGCAGUGGGGAAUAUUGCGCAAUGGGGGCAACCUGACGCAGCCAUGCCGCGUGUAUGAAGAAGGCCUUCGGGUUGUAAAGUACUUUCGGUAGAGAAGCGGUAUCUGCAGAAGAAGCACCGGCUAACUCCGUGCCAGCAGCCGCGGUAAUAC
Molecule: ribosomal RNA, 405 nt
Filed under: uncultured bacterium
Lineage: Bacteria
Description: partial 16S ribosomal RNA
Rfam family: Bacterial small subunit ribosomal RNA
Source: RNAcentral